CCUACGGGUGGCUGCAGUGGGGAAUAUUGGACAAUGGGCGAAAGCCUGAUCCAGCCAUGCCGCGUGUGUGAAGAAGGCCUUCGGGUUGUAAAGCACUUUCAGUGGGGAAGAAAGCCUUGGGGCUAAUACCCUCGAGGAAGGACAUCACCCACAGAAGAAGCACCGGCUAACUCCGUGCCAGCAGCCGCGGUAAUACGGAGGGUGCGAGCGUUAAUCGGAAUUACUGGGCGUAAAGCGCGCGUAGGCGGUCUGAUAAGCCGGUUGUGAAAGCCCCGGGCUCAACCUGGGAACGGCAUCCGGAACUGUCAGGCUAGAGUGCAGGAGAGGAAGGUAGAAUUCCCGGUGUAGCGGUGAAAUGCGUAGAGAUCGGGAGGAAUACCAGAGGCGAAGGCGGCCUUCUGGACUGACACUGACGCUGAGGUGCGAAAGCGUGGGUAGCAAACAGGAUUAGAUACCCCGGUAGUC
RNAcentral lists this ribosomal RNA (465 nucleotides) under Vreelandella stevensii. Its description in RNAcentral is "partial 16S ribosomal RNA". It matches the Rfam family "Bacterial small subunit ribosomal RNA", at positions 338 to 795 of the family's 1533-position model. The record is from RNAcentral. Lineage: Bacteria; Pseudomonadati; Pseudomonadota; Gammaproteobacteria; Oceanospirillales; Halomonadaceae.